CCUGCGGAGGGAUCAUUACCGAGUUCAUGCCCUUACGGGUAGACCUCCCACCCUAUGUUAUAUUACCUUUGUUGCUUUGGCGGGCCGCCCGGCUUCGGCCAGGCUACCGGCUCCAGCUGGUAAGCGCUCGCCAGAGGACCCUCAACUCUGAAUAUCAGUGUCGUCCGAGUACUAUAAAAUAGUUAAAACUUUCAACAACGGAUCUCUUGGUUCUGGCAUCGAUGAAGAACGCAGCGAAAUGCGAUAAGUAAUGUGAAUUGCAGAAUUCAGUGAAUCAUCGAAUCUUUGAACGCACAUUGCGCCCCUUGGUAUUCCGAGGGGCAUGCCUGUUCGAGCGUCAUUACAACCCUCAAGCACUGCUUGGUAUUGGGCUCCGCUGGCUCCAGCGGGCCUUAAAAUCAGUGGCGGCGCCGUUUGGGCUCUGAGCGUAGUAAAUAUCAUCGCUAUAGAGACCAGGCGGUUCUUGUCAUCAACCCCCAACUUUCUAAGUUUGACCUCGGAUCAGGUAGGGAUACCCGCUGAACUUAAGCAUAUCAAAA
Molecule: ribosomal RNA, 539 nt
Filed under: Helotiales sp.
Lineage: Eukaryota; Fungi; Ascomycota; Leotiomycetes; Helotiales
Description: eukaryotic LSU rRNA
Rfam family: 5.8S ribosomal RNA (bases 187-340)
Source: RNAcentral